UUUGAUAAAAAUGAUCAAGAAUAGUUGCACUAGAGUUAACUGCUUUCACCUUGAAGUGCCAAAAGUAGAAAAUUAAUGGUAUAAAAUGUGCAAGAGUGUUACGAAGUAUUCCAAGUAUUCUAAGUAUUUUAGUAUCCGAUACUCCAAAAUUUAAAGCUCCUGCUUCUUCAACAUAAAGUUCUAUCUUGACCUCAUCAAGCUUAAAAUUUAGAUAGAAGCAGUUGCAUAUUAAGAGCAAGGAGCAGG
RNAcentral lists this long non-coding RNA (246 nucleotides) under Phoenix dactylifera (date palm). RNAcentral describes it as "long non-coding RNA (PDAC_LNC012341)". The record is from RNAcentral. Lineage: Eukaryota; Viridiplantae; Streptophyta; Magnoliopsida; Arecales; Arecaceae.